RNAcentral lists this ribosomal RNA (509 nucleotides) under uncultured bacterium. RNAcentral's name for it is "bacterial SSU rRNA". It matches the Rfam family "Bacterial small subunit ribosomal RNA", at positions 38 to 507 of the family's 1533-position model. The record is from RNAcentral.
GGCGGCGUGCCUAAUACAUGCAAGUCGAACGCACUCUCGUUUAGAUUGAAGGAGCUUGCUCCUGAUUGAUAAACAUUUGAGUGAGUGGCGACGGGUGAGUAACACGUGGGUAAUCUGCCCUAAAGUGGGGGAUAACAUUUGGAAACAGAUGCUAAUACCGCAUAAAACCUAACACCGCAUGGUGUAGGGUUGAAAGAUGGUUUCGGCUAUCACUUUAGGAUGGACCCGCGGUGCAUUAGUUAGUUGGUGAGGUAAAGGCUCACCAAGACCGUGAUGCAUAGCCGACCUGAGAGGGUAAUCGGCCACACUGGGACUGAGACACGGCCCAGACUCCUACGGGAGGCAGCAGUAGGGAAUCUUCCACAAUGGACGAAAGUCUGAUGGAGCAACGCCGCGUGAGUGAAGAAGGUUUUCGGAUCGUAAAACUCUGUUGUUGGAGAAGAAUGUAUCUGAUAGUAACUGAUCAGGUAGUGACGGUAUCCAACCAGAAAGCCACGGCUAACUACGUG